This 271-nucleotide unclassified non-coding RNA is filed under the name uncultured fungus. RNAcentral describes it as "partial contains 5.8S ribosomal RNA, internal transcribed spacer 2, and large subunit ribosomal RNA". The stretch from base 1 to 52 matches the Rfam family "5.8S ribosomal RNA", at positions 103 to 154 of the family's 154-position model. Lineage: Eukaryota; Fungi. The record is from RNAcentral.
AACGCAACUUGCGCCCUUUGGUAUUCCGAAGGGCAUGCCUGUUUGAGUGUCAUGAAACUCUCAAUCCCUCGGCUUUAUGACCCGAGUGUGAUUGGAUUUGGGCGUCUGCCGGUCACACGGCUCGCCUCAAAAGUGUCAGUGGGGACAAGCAUCUCACGCCGGGAGUAAUAAGUUUCUUCUGGUAUGGUGAUUGGGCCUGCUCAUAACUCGACCUUAUGGUCAAUACUUUUGCUCUGACCUCAAAUCAGGUAGGACUACCCGCUGAACUUAA